Molecule: ribosomal RNA, 482 nt
Filed under: uncultured bacterium
Lineage: Bacteria
Description: partial 16S ribosomal RNA
Rfam family: Bacterial small subunit ribosomal RNA
Source: RNAcentral
GAUUAACGCUAGCGGCAGGCAUAAUACAUGCAAGUUGAACGGCAGCACAGGUAGCAAUACUGGGUGGCGAGUGGCGCACGGGUGCGUAACACGUAUGCAACCUACCCUAUACAGGCGAAUAACCUUUAGAAAUGAGGGCUAAUACGCCGUAGUAUUACAGAUGGGCAUCUAUUUGUAAUUAAAGAUUUAUCGGUAUAGGAUGGGCAUGCGUCCCAUUAGUUAGUUGGUAAGGUAACGGCUUACCAAGACGAUGAUGGGUAGGGGAUCUGAGAGGACUUACCCCCACCCUGGUACGGGAACACGGACCAGACUCCUGCGGGAGGCAGCAGUAAGGAAUAUUGGGCAAUGGCCGCGAGGCUGACCCGGCCAUGCCGCGUGCAGGAAGACGGCCUUAUGGGUUGUAAACUGCUUUUAUACGGGAAUAAUAGAGUGUACGCGUACAUUUAUGCAAGUAUCGUAUGAAUAAGCAUCGGCUAACUCCG